GAUGAAGAACGUAGCAAAAUGCGAUAAGUAAUGUGAAUUGCAGAAUUCAGUGAAUCAUCGAAUCUUUGAACGCACAUUGCGCCCGCCAGUAUUCUGGCGGGCAUGCCUGUUCGAGCGUCAUUUCAACCCUCAAGCCCUCGGGUUUGGUGUUGGGGAUCGGCGAGCCUUUCUGGCAAGCCGGCCCCGAAAUCUAGUGGCGGUCUCGCUGCAGCCUCCAUUGCGUAGUAGUAAAACCCUCGCAACUGGAACGCGGCGCGGCCAAGCCGUUAAACCCCCAACUUCUGAAUGUUGACCUCGGAUCAGGUAGGAAUAACCGCUGAACUUAAGCAUAUCAAUAAGCGGAGGA
Molecule: unclassified non-coding RNA, 346 nt
Filed under: soil metagenome
Description: partial contains 5.8S ribosomal RNA, internal transcribed spacer 2, and large subunit ribosomal RNA
Rfam family: 5.8S ribosomal RNA (bases 1-120)
Source: RNAcentral